UUGCGUGUCCCUUUAGUAUUGGAUAAUCCAUCUUCUCUCCAUCUUCUCUUUUGCUCGACCUCCUUCUUCGUUUGAUUCCUCCUCCAAUCUCAGUAACUCCAUCUUUUAUUUCACUUCUGAUCUCGAUUUCUUUUUUCGUUUGAUUCGUUUGAUUCCUUCUCUGCAGUUACGAUUGUUUCUCCUCUCGAACCAUCUUCUUCAACGCGUUUGACUCUUCUUCUCUGUAUCUGAGUUAGCAAUGAAGUCAGGAGGAUCAUGAUUGAACCCAAAUGCAGCAGCUUACGCACCACUCUCCAAAAGAGAAGGUGAUUCUUCAAAGCAUGUUGGUGCUGAUGCAGCCACACGUGACGUUCAGCACCAACAACCCUAUGGUUAUGGAGUCCAAGGGAAGGGAAGUUCUCCAGGCGCUCACAUGAGGGAUGAUGAUUCGGAGACUGAUAAGGAGAUGGAGUUCCUUUUGGCCAACUCCAUCUCCGUGAUGUUUGUCAGAUGAGUCUAUAUGUGAUGUUUACUUAGCCAACUCGAGGUAAACUUAUUUCACUAGUAUCCAUCUCACACUUAAAUUACACCUAGGGUAGAUUGUCCGCAAAGCUUUGUUUCUCUGUGGAAAAAGAGAGAGAGAGAGAGAGAGAGAGAGAGAGAGAGAGAGAGAGAGAGAGUACAUUUGUAUAGAUUUUGAAUUUCAAGCUUGGGUGUUGCAGAUUAGGAUUCUUCUUAUGGUA
Brassica oleracea var. oleracea is the source of this 722-nucleotide long non-coding RNA. RefSeq lists it as uncharacterized. The record is from RefSeq and is a predicted model, not a curated record. NCBI's taxonomy places the organism in Eukaryota, Viridiplantae, Streptophyta, Magnoliopsida, Brassicales, Brassicaceae. The transcript is spliced from 2 exons.